AGAGUUUAAUCAUGGCUCAGGAUGAACGCUGGCGGCGUGCCUAACACAUGCAAGUCGAACGGAAUUUACAUGAAGCCUAGCGAUUGUAAAUUUAGUGGCGGACGGGUGAGUAACGCGUGGGUAACCUGCCUUGUACUGGGGGGACGAACAGUUGGAAACGACUGCUAAUACCGCAUAAGCGCACAGCUUCGCAUGAAGCAGUGUGAAAAACUCCGGUGGUACAAGAUGGACCCGCGUCUGAUUAGCUGGUUGG
Molecule: ribosomal RNA, 253 nt
Filed under: uncultured bacterium
Lineage: Bacteria
Description: partial 16S ribosomal RNA
Rfam family: Bacterial small subunit ribosomal RNA
Source: RNAcentral